CUUUUAUACAGGUUACCCCAGAUCUCUAUUGCUUCAGAUGAGAACAGAUAUGAACUUCUGGAAGAAGCUUGGAGGAACGGCUUGCCUUUCGCCCAGUGGGACAGGCUGACAGUGGUUGCCUGGCUGGAGGUUCAGACUCACAUUGGAUGGGGUGCAGUUGCUCAUGCAUCAGCAGAAAGGGCUUUUUGAGACAUGAUGCAGUCAUUCCUCAAGCUUACUGAUACAUCAGAACAGUCAGUACAGAAAAGCCUGUCUGAGCUCUUUUGAAAUCUGACAUUACACUCUGUUUUCUCUGUGUCAUAAAAGUGAUCUAACAGCUGUCUUUUAAGAAAAUGUUUCCCAGGUAAGUUGUAGAUUAGUUAUCGGCCACACAGUACUUCAGCGCAGUUAGAAAUUAAACACAGGGCUGCUGCUGACCUAGGCUACUAAGUCUAACAUAAGAAAAAAACCCUCAAGUGGCAAGUACAUAUCUUCUGUAGCUGUGUUCACACUUUGCUGUGACUUCUAACCAAUAUUUCCAGCAGCAGUGUGACACCAUACCAGCCCAGCCCAGUCCUCACUAGGUUAUCUGCACUGUGCUUGGAAAAAAUGAGCUGAGAAGGGUAAGAUUGUGCCCACAAGUACACCAUAGGGACUAACAUGGAAAGAGAGAUAAGC
This 657-nucleotide long non-coding RNA is filed under the name Anser brachyrhynchus (Pink-footed goose). RNAcentral describes it as "lncRNA (ENSABRG00000003975.1)". Lineage: Eukaryota; Metazoa; Chordata; Aves; Anseriformes; Anatidae. The record is from RNAcentral.